AGGCUGUGUGUAUAUAAGGAUAGCUGAGCAUUAAAUUUCACAUGUACAGUUCUGUUUUAGAAGUGAUUUAUCAAUUGAAAGUGCUAUUUUCUCUUUGAGGCGCUGGAUGGAUUAAGCAAAAGGUUUCGAAUACUAGGCAUCUUUCUCUAUUUAACUAAGGCAUUUGAUUAUCUAGAUCACAAAAUAUUGUUGCAGAAGUUGGACCAUUAUGGAGCACGGGGGUAUCUUACAACUGGUUCCCCUUUUACUUUAACAACAGAAAGCAAAAGGUCAUUAUCCACAUUAUUGAGAGUGGCUAUGAUGUGGGGUCUGAGAGGGGCAUGGUCAAAUAGUGUGUGCCCCACAGAUCAGUGCUGAGGCCUCCCAUGUUCCUUAUUUAUAUAAAUGAUAUGCCCUCUCGUAUUAUAGAUGAUUCUAAAAUAUUUAUGUUUCCUGAUGACACAACCUUGGUAGUAAAGGAUGUUGUGUGCAACAUUGGAACUGUUUCAAAAAGUGCAGUUCAUGAUGUAAGUCCAUGGCAUGUGGAAAAUAAAUUAACACUGAAUCACAGUAAGACUCAGUUUUUACAUUUUCUAACACACAGUUCAACAAAACCCAACAUUUUAAUUUCACAGAAUGGGCAUAUGACUAGUGAAUCUGAACAGUUCAAAUUUCUAAGUGUUCAGAUAGAUAGUAAACUGUUAAUGGAAGCCCACAUUUGGGAUCUUGUCCAAAGACUUCAUGCUGCCAUUUUUACUAUGGUAUCUGAAGUAAUUGAUAGUUUGACACGAAAAGUAGUCUACUUUGCUUAUUUUUCAUUCGCUUAUGACAUACAUUAUUAUAUUUUGUAAAGUUAGUGCUCACUGGGUGCUUAAGAACCUGACAGACAACCAACCACAAGGGUCAGCAGGCCAGUGUAUGAUGACGAGCUUGGAUUACUUAACAUGUUUGCCACAGAAGGGCAUGGCUUUGUGAAAGGGAUUUUCACUGGUGAUGUGUUGUGGGCAUACAACUACAUGCCCGAAACCAAGCAGGCUUCUAUGAAGUGGAAAUAUGCUGGUUCCCCCCGUAUAAAAAAAAUUCAGAAUGGCUCAAUCUGCUAGGAAAAUGCUUAAGAAAGUGCUCUGGGAUAUGCUUCUUGUGGUAUUGGUGGACUUAGCUGAACACAGGACCACUGUGAAUACUGCAGCCUACAUUAAAACUUCGGUUAAGUUGCAGCAUGCCCUUUGUGUUAAAUGUCACAACAUUAGUGCUGAUGGUGUCAGACUACUUCUUGACAACACUUGGCCCCAUGUUGCUGCACCUGUUCAUGAGAAAAUCGCCAAAUUUGGGUGGGAGGUGCUCCAGCAUCCACCAUGCGCCAUCGAACUUUCAUCUGUUUGGUUCCAAGAAGAAAUUCCUGGCUGGUCAACACUUUGCAACAGAUGUGGAAGUGAAAUCAGCAGUUCACAGGUGGCUAUACUCCAACCAAAUGGACUUCUACAAACAGGGCAUAUUGAAACUGGUACCAUGAUGGGAGAAAUGUGUUGAGAAUAUUGGUGACUGUGUAGAAAUAUAUUGUCAGAAGAUACACAGUCCUUACAAUGGAAUGAGUUGCUUGUAAACUGUCAUUUAUUCUCCAGGAGUAUACAACUUCAAAUGCUUAUCUUGCAGUGGUGUGAACAUAACCUAACAUGACAAGAAGAAACAGGAGAAUGAUAUAUUGGAGUGGCUGGAGAUCCCUUUAUGCAGUGAAGAUAGUUUGGACUCAUCAUCUGAUGACUCUUCACAAGACAAAACUUACGCAAGAAUAUGAAGAUUCUGGCAACAGCAGUAAUAAUGAAAAACGAAGUGUGGGAACCACCAGACCAAUCUACUCCUGGGACAGUGCUACCUACUUCUUCCGGAAAUAGUGCAUCGAUAAUAUCACCAUAUAGUAAACGAAAUAAUCGGGAAUCUGCAAAUACUAACAAUGAAUCAGAUUUCACACAUUUGAAUGCACCAAAGAAAUGCAGAAACGUUGUUUGGAAAGAGAAACAUUUAGUUAUUACUUAAAGUCAGUCAAAAUUUCACAGAACCACAGAGUUACCAGCUGAAAUAAUGAACUUCGACACUCCUUAUCAGUUU
Long non-coding RNA from Schistocerca cancellata (South American locust), 2085 nucleotides. RefSeq lists it as uncharacterized. Lineage: Eukaryota; Metazoa; Arthropoda; Insecta; Orthoptera; Acrididae. The transcript has 3 exons. The record is from RefSeq and is a predicted model, not a curated record.